Molecule: non-coding RNA, 86 nt
Filed under: human gut metagenome
Description: S10-Clostridia ribosomal protein leader
Rfam family: S10-Clostridia ribosomal protein leader
Source: RNAcentral
AGAGCGAUGAAGCGGAGGUUGCCAAGCCUUGUAUAAGACAAGGGUUUUCCGUGGAGCGAUGUCCAGUUCAAGAAACCGGGCGACAA